This 4263-nucleotide long non-coding RNA is filed under the name Heterocephalus glaber (naked mole-rat). RNAcentral's name for it is "lncRNA (ENSHGLG00000050285.1)". Lineage: Eukaryota; Metazoa; Chordata; Mammalia; Rodentia; Bathyergidae. The record is from RNAcentral.
AAUUUCUUUGUUCUUAAUAUUCUCAGUUUCAACUACCUGAGAAUAGAUAUAUAAGAAAGAAAUGUUCAUAUUUCUUUCUUUUGAAUUUUUUAUUUGUUUAGUAGUACAUGUUUGUAGUAUAUAUUGUUUACAUUCUUUGUGGGGAGUUGGUACAUGUACAUAACACACCUUAAUUUAUUUUUUUCGUCUUCUUCCUCUUCUACCAUCCCCUCUCCCUCUGUCUCCUGUUCCACUUUCCACUUGAGAAAGAUAUAGCUUCCUACUCCCUGUUAUAUAACUUUUAUUUUAUCUUUAUUUAUAAUUUUCAUAUAAGAGAAACCAUGUGAUAUUUAAGCUCCUGUGUCUGAUUUAUUUCACAUAUAGUCUCAAGGUACAUCCAUUUUCCCACAAAUGGCUCAAGUAUAUCCUUUCUGGCAGAAUAAUAUUUCCAUUGUGUGUUUUCUAGUUUCUGUUUUUUAAGGAACCUCCAUACUGAUUUCUAUAGCGGUUGUACCAGUUUACAUUCCCACCAAAAAUAUUGAAGUGUUUCUUUUUCCCCUAAUCCUCACCGGCAUUUGCUGUUGUCUGAUUUCUUGAUGAUGGCCAUUAUUUCUGUGGUAAGGUGAAAUCUCAAUGUUUUAAUUUGCAUUUCUCUAAUGGCCUGCAACACUGAACAAUUUUUCAUGUAUCUAUUGAUCAUUUGUACUUCUGAGAAAUGUCUGUUCAUUUCACUUGCUUAUUUCUUUUAUUUAGGGGAAAUCUAAUAUAUUGAAUUCUUCAUAUAUUCUAGAUACUACUUCUCUGUCAGGAAUAACUGGAAAAAUGUAUCCUAUUCUGUACAUUGCCAUUUCAUUCUGUUGGUUGUUUCUUUUGCUGUACAGAAGCUGUUAAAUUUGAUAUGCCGCAUUUAUUGGUUCUUAAUUUAUUGGUUCUUAUUUCCUCCACUAUGGGGUUUUUUUUUCCUGCACUAUGGGGGUUCUUUUCAAAAAAUCCUUGCUUAUGCCUAUGAAUUCAAGAAUUUACCCUAGUUAAUUUCCAGCAAAUUGUUUAUGUUUAUUACUUGGCUCUUUAAUUGACUUUGAUUUAAUUUAGUACAUGAUGAGAGAUAUGGUCUAAAUUCAACCUUCUGCACAUGAAUAGCCACUUUUCCCAGCACCAUUUAGUAAAGAGGCUUUCAUCUCAUGUAUAUUUUUGUCACCUUUGCAAAAAUCAAAUAGUUGAGUGUGCUUUGGGUUGUUUCUGUAUCCUGUAUUGUGUUCCAUUGAUGCACAUUUUUUUUUGUAGCCAGCCAUGCUAUUUUUAUUAUUGUAGCUUUAUAAUAAAACUUCAGAUCUGGGAUUAUGAUGUUAUGAUGCCUCCUACUUUACUCUUGUUACCCUACUUUUGGACUCUGGUUCUCUUUUGGCAACUCAUGAAUUUUAAGAUUGUUUUCUCUAGUUCUAUGAAGAAUGCUGUUGGUAUUUCUUGUAAUUGUGUUAAAUCUGUAUAUCAAUUUUGGAAGUAUGCUCAUUUUGUCUAUAUUGCUUCUGACUAUUCAGGAAAAUGGAAUAUCUUUCCAUCUUUGAUCUCCUUUUUCAGAAUACUAGUUUUCAUUGUUGAAGUCUUUUGUUGGCUUAGGUUAUUCCUUAAGUAUUUAAUUUUUCUUAAUACUAUUGUGAAUGGUAGUUUUUAAAUUUUUCUCUCAGUGAGUUCAUUAUUGGUGUAUAGAAACACUUGAUUUUUGUGUAUUGAUUUUGUAUCUUACUACAUUGCUGAAUUUGUUAUUUCUAGGAGUCUAUUGGUGUAUUUUGAGGGGGUCUUCUACUUAGAGAAUGAUUAUAUUUCUACAAGGAUAGUGAUGUAGCAGAAGGUAAUGACCUUGCGGUAUUAGAAAAAUCAUCAUUAAAAAGGAUCCCUGAGAAUAAUAAAACAAAGUUAAGAGAAUUAAGAAUAUACACUGACUAUCAGGGUGAUAGAAAAUGAGUUUAUUGAGUAGUAAGCAAUUCUUUGUUCCCUGUCAAAAUUUUUUAAGACUGAUGUUCAGAGAGUGGUUCACCAAUGUCAAAUAUUGUACUUUUGAGGUUCAAAUACAUAAUUAUAUUCACACAACUAUAGGAUACCCUUUAGCUCCACAUAUGUUGAUCUCUUUUUCUAUAGUUAAGUCAGCCUGUGGUAUCUGUAGCUUGGGGGUGGCAGUGUUCUUGACCACAUUUUUGACAACAUUAUUCAGUGUAAUUUAGUUUUGAGUUUUCUCCUAUCAAACUGAUUUCCAGAAUGAGGGAGGGAAAAAGAGAGGGGAAGAGAAGAAGAAGAAGAGGAAGAAAAAAGAAGAAGGAGGAGGAGGAAGAAGAAAGAAAAAAGAAAAGAAAGAAAAAGGAAGGAAGGAAGAAAAAAUAGAAGGAAAGGAAGGAAGAGAGGAGAGAAGGAGAAGAGAAAAGAAGAAAAAACUAGUUAGAGAUGAGGAUGAGGAAGGUAUCAUGAUUAAGGAGGAAAAAAUUAAAAGGGUGGUAAAGGAAUUGAAAAUGAUGAAGAUAUGUUAUAUGCAUGCACUAAUUCACCAAAAUGAACAAUCAUUAUUCUAUACUGCAAACAUAGUCUAAAACAUAAAGUAAAAUCAAAGUCUAAUAGGUCAGUGCCUUUACAAGUAGUUUUCCUUUUACAUAAUUAUUUCCAUAUGGAAAGGUGGCUCUUGCUAAACCACGAACUGGUUAUAAGUCAGUCAUACCCAAUCAUUUUAUGAAUUUAGUAUGGCUGUACAUAGAUUCUACAAAACAAACUGACUCUUCUUUUGGAACCACCUGGUAAAAAACUGUUAGAUUAAAAGAAGAAAUUUAACUUGGAUUAACUUUUGAGUUAAGAAAUGGAGAAAUUAGUUUUUUAAAUAUAAAAUCAUAAUCCUAAACUGGAUAUUGACCAAAUAAAUUUGUGUAUAACUGAAUUCAAUAUUAAAAUUAAUAACUAAAACCUUAAUAUGUCCAAGAAAGGUAUAAAGUCGCAAUCAACCUAAGAGUUGAGUAUAAUUGCUGAAAUUAUUAUAAUAGUAAUUUUUAUUUACUGUACUCAGUUUCCAGAAUAGGAUCUUGACUUAUGGAUAGAGAAUUCUAUCCAUGGUACAAUGAGGUGACAAUGGAAAAAGAAAGAAUGAGCAUUUUGAGGCAGCAGACCCAGAAACUUGGUAAAAAGAAGGCCUGGCUUACAUGAAGGGAAACCAAGAAACGUAUAUGUGAAUAUGUACGUGCAGCAUAUCUACUUAAGUACAGCUCUAACUUUGGUGCUCCACAGCAGUUCACAGUGCCCCUCUGCUCUACCCUUGUGCAAUAUGCAAUUCUUCUUGAAUAACAGUGUCUAGAAGUUUUCCAGAUUGAAUAUUGUAAUCUGAGAAUUACAGAAAGAUUUAGAACUUGAAAACUUUGCUCCCUUGUUUAAGAAAGAAAGCAUAUGUAAAAACUCAAAACCAACCAAACAGAAAAUAAGUAAGGCUGUACUCAUUAAAAACACUUUCCUGGAAAGAGGACAGCAGAGUACUACCCUGGAAAAGCAAGGUAAUAAGUAUAUCUUACAUAUUCCAGUAUUUCCUCAUUUGCUUAAUACAAAUGAAUUCCAUUGUCACCAAAAAUGUUUAAAUUAUUAAAUCACAUUUUUAUGUAAGACAAGCUAUCCUAAAAAAGGAACCCAAAGGACAUAGAAAGUUCCAAAUAUAGAAUGUUCAUUAUCAUGCAAAAGUCAGUGUCUUUUGCCACCUAGCAUUUGCUUUGCCCCUCAUCCUCAUGAUACCCAGCCCAGUUUUCACAAGUGUUCAUUCUUUCAAAGUCCUCUCUCCCUCUGUGACCUCCAGGGUGAGCGUGAUUGUCUUAAGGAAUUCCCAUUCCAUUUAGCUCAGUUCAAUGCCCCAAUCCUGAGCCAGUCAGUGAGUAGCAUUCUAUGGGCCCCAGAACUCAAGUACCAGGAUAACUGUAAUUCAUAAAAAUGAAAUUCCAGGCCGCGAGUCGCGCGGAACACACCAAAUCAGCCCGCUGCAGACAGGCAGGUCUGCGGACACCCUACCGAGGUCUCAAGUCGUGUGGAACAUGCCGAAUGAGCCCAUGCCCCGGCAACAAUCCACUGGACACCACCACCACCACCACCACCCCCAAACAGCUCCUCUGGUCUAUCCUUCUUCCCAUCUGUCCCUCCCUCCCCAACUCUUUCUAACUCCCUAUCCCAGAGGGUAAAGUUGUUAUAUUGAAGAGUUUUUUCACUAUAUGUUGGGUUGGUCCUCAAUCUUGAUUUAAUUCACACAGCUAAAGGUGAUAGAUUAAAAACUAC